Non-coding RNA from Python bivittatus (Burmese python), 371 nucleotides. NCBI's taxonomy places the organism in Eukaryota, Metazoa, Chordata, Lepidosauria, Squamata, Pythonidae. The record is from RefSeq and is a predicted model, not a curated record.
UCGGCAUCAUCAUCAUCAUCAUCAUCAUCAUCAUCGUCAUCCCUCUGUAGAAAUUAUUCUGACAUCAAUGAGAGAAAGAAUUCACCAUUAUCCACGACCCUCAGAUUGGGUUUCAGGGUGAUGAAAAGCUGUGAAAGUUAAUCUUCUCUGCUUCACUGAGUGCCAAGCAGAAAUGCACAGCUGGGAACUGUGGCAAGUGGUCCCUAACUACCCUACAGGGAUAAUCUCACCUUUCAGGGGCAGAAAGACGUCCAGGUCAAUCCUAAAAGCUCACUGCUGCCACUAGAGGGAGCAAUGUUCCAUCCAGAGGGUAAAAACUCCCGUGUCAUCCAGGGAGCAGUUCUGCAGCCCACCCUCAAUUCUACAAGUUG